This 30-nucleotide non-coding RNA is filed under the name Rattus norvegicus (Norway rat). Lineage: Eukaryota; Metazoa; Chordata; Mammalia; Rodentia; Muridae. The record is from RNAcentral.
UAGAGAUUUUGUUAGACCCCUAGAUGUAGU